UAAGGAAUCUUCCACAAUGGGCGAAAGCCUGAUGGAGCAAUGCCGCGUGCAGGAAGACGCUUUUCGGAGUGUAAACUGCUUUUCUGAAGGAAGAUUAUGACGGUACUUCAGGAAUAAGGAUCGGCUAACUACGUGCCAGCAGCCGCGGUAAUACGUAGGAUCCAAGCGUUAUCCGGAAUUACUGGGCGUAAAGCGUGCGCAGACGGUUUGAUAGGUCGAUUGCGAAAUCCCGUGGCUCAACCAUGUGGAC
Molecule: ribosomal RNA, 250 nt
Filed under: uncultured bacterium
Lineage: Bacteria
Description: partial 16S ribosomal RNA
Rfam family: Bacterial small subunit ribosomal RNA
Source: RNAcentral